GGCUCAGAUUGAACGCUGGCGGCAUGCCUUACACAUGCAAGUCGAACGGCAGCACGGGUGCUUGCACCUGGUGGCGAGUGGCGAACGGGUGAGUAAUACAUCGGAACAUGUCCUGUAGUGGGGGAUAGCCCGGCGAAAGCCGGAUUAAUACCGCAUACGAUCUACGGAUGAAAGCGGGGGACCUUCGGGCCUCGCGCUAUAGGGUUGGCCGAUGGCUGAUUAGCUAGUUGGUGGGGUAAAGGCCUACCAAGGCGACGAUCAGUAGCUGGUCUGAGAGGACGACCAGCCACACUGGGACUGAGACACGGCCCAGACUCCUACGGGAGGCAGCAGUGGGGAAUUUUGGACAAUGGGCGAAAGCCUGAUCCAGCAAUGCCGCGUGUGUGAAGAAGGCCUUCGGGUUGUAAAGCACUUUUGUCCGGAAAGAAAUCCUUGACUCUAAUACAGUCGGGGGA
This 455-nucleotide ribosomal RNA is filed under the name Burkholderia cenocepacia. RNAcentral's name for it is "bacterial SSU rRNA". It matches the Rfam family "Bacterial small subunit ribosomal RNA", at positions 21 to 472 of the family's 1533-position model. Lineage: Bacteria; Pseudomonadati; Pseudomonadota; Betaproteobacteria; Burkholderiales; Burkholderiaceae. The record is from RNAcentral.